GCAAGUCGAGCGCAGUCCUUCGGGACCGAGCGGCGGACGGGUUAGUAACGCGUGGGAAUAUGCCCUUCACUACGGAAUAGCCUCGGGAAACUGAGAGUAAUACCGUAUACGCCCUUCGGGGGAAAGAUUUAUCGGUGAAGGAUUAGCCCGCGUAAGAUUAGAUAGUUGGUGGGGUAAUGGCCUACCAAGGCGAUGAUCUGUAGCUGGUUUGAGAGGACGAUC
This 222-nucleotide ribosomal RNA is filed under the name uncultured bacterium. Its description in RNAcentral is "partial 16S ribosomal RNA". It matches the Rfam family "Bacterial small subunit ribosomal RNA", at positions 57 to 305 of the family's 1533-position model. The record is from RNAcentral.